GACGAACGCUGGCGGCGUGCUUAACACAUGCAAGUCGAACGGAAAGGCCCUGCUUUUGUGGGGUGCUCGAGUGGCGAACGGGUGAGUAACACGUGAGUAACCUGCCCUUGACUUUGGGAUAACUUCUGGAAACUGGGGCUAAUACCGGAUAGGAGCUCCUGCUGCAUGGUGGGGGUUGGAAAGUUUCGGCGGUUGGGGAUGGACUCGCGGCUUAUCAGCUUGUUGGUGGGGUAGUGGCUUACAAAGGCUUUGACGGGUAGCCGGCCUGAGAGGGUGAACGGCCACAUUGGGACUGAGAGACGGCCCAGACUCCUACGGGAGGCAGCAGUGGAGAAUAUUGCACAAUGGGCGGAAGCCUGAUGCAGCAACGCCGCGUGCGGGAUGACGGCCUUCGGGUUGUAAACCGCUUUCGCCUGUGACGAAGCGUGAGUGACGGUAAUGGGUAAAGAAGCACCGGCUAACUACGUG
RNAcentral lists this ribosomal RNA (468 nucleotides) under uncultured bacterium. Its description in RNAcentral is "partial 16S ribosomal RNA". It matches the Rfam family "Bacterial small subunit ribosomal RNA", at positions 28 to 507 of the family's 1533-position model. The record is from RNAcentral.